UGGCGGACGGGUGAGUAAUGUCUGGGAAACUGCCUGAUGGAGGGGGGUAACUACUGGAAACGGUAGCUAAUACCGCAUAACGUCGCAAGACCAAAGAGGGGGACCUUAGGGCCUCUUGCCAUCGGAUGUGCCCAGAUGGGAUUAGCUAGUAGGUGGGGUAACGGCCCACCUAGGCGACGAUCCCUAGCUGGUCUGAGAGGAUGACCAGCCACACUGGAACUGAGACACGGUCCAG
This 235-nucleotide ribosomal RNA is filed under the name uncultured bacterium. RNAcentral's name for it is "partial 16S ribosomal RNA". It matches the Rfam family "Bacterial small subunit ribosomal RNA", at positions 96 to 334 of the family's 1533-position model. The record is from RNAcentral.